This 463-nucleotide ribosomal RNA is filed under the name uncultured bacterium. RNAcentral describes it as "bacterial SSU rRNA". It matches the Rfam family "Bacterial small subunit ribosomal RNA", at positions 330 to 792 of the family's 1533-position model. The record is from RNAcentral.
ACCAGACUCCUACGGGAGGCAGCAGUGAGGAAUAUUGGUCAAUGGGCGGGAGCCUGAACCAGCCAAGUCGCGUGAGGGAAGACGGUCCUAUGGAUUGUAAACCUCUUUUGUCGGGGAGCAACGAGGCCACGUGUGGCCGAAGUGAGAGUACCCGAAGAAAAAGCAUCGGCUAACUCCGUGCCAGCAGCCGCGGUAAUACGGAGGAUGCGAGCGUUAUCCGGAUUUAUUGGGUUUAAAGGGUGCGUAGGCGGAACAUUAAGUCAGCGGUAAAAUCGAGGGGCUCAACCCCUUUAAGCCGUUGAAACUGGUGAUCUUGAGUGGGCGAGAAGUAUGCGGAAUGCGUGGUGUAGCGGUGAAAUGCAUAGAUAUCACGCAGAACUCCGAUUGCGAAGGCAGCAUACCGGCGCCCGACUGACGCUGAGGCACGAAAGCGUGGGAUCGAACAGGAUUAGAUACCCGCGUA